This 536-nucleotide long non-coding RNA is filed under the name Anser brachyrhynchus (Pink-footed goose). Its description in RNAcentral is "lncRNA (ENSABRG00000003610.1)". Lineage: Eukaryota; Metazoa; Chordata; Aves; Anseriformes; Anatidae. The record is from RNAcentral.
AAGAUCUGCAGCAUGGAAAUAAAUUUACUCCCAAACAACUGCAUAGUCUUUGAAGUUAGUUUGGCUACUUUUACAUGCUUUUGAACUUCCCCCUGUAAACCUGUGUAUCCAGAUACGCUUGCAACCUAAUCUAAGGGGCUUGCUGUCUCAAUUGAAAUGCCUAAACAUGGGCAUCUAAUGACACAUCAGAAGCUUCCUGUCCACUUGCUGCACCACCCAUGGUCAUGGACCUCUGCACUUCUCUGAGACUUCUGGAAUAACUAAGGAUGACUUGCAUGAGUAAGAGCUCUAAGUAGCAAGAAAAAGGCACAAAGAACUGCUUACAAGAAACCUCAUUUGAAAGCAGGUGCUGUUGUAGUUUUCCAGCAGAAGACUCAGUUCACAAGUCGUCUGUAGACUACAGAAGAAAGAAGGUUUAAUACAAAAAGGAUUGUCUCAUUGACCCAACUUGAUAUGUGUUUCAAAGGCAAAGCUGGAAAUGUACUACAAUGAGCUUCACAUAUUGAUCCGUACAAAGAAAGAAUGACACAGCUCAG